UACAGAGGGUGCGAGCGUUAAUCGGAAUUACUGGGCGUAAAGGGCGCGUAGGCGGCCCGCUAAGUCGAACGUGAAAUCCCCAGGCUCAACCUGGGAACUGCGUCCGAUACUGGCAGGCUUGAAUCCGGGAGAGGGAUGUGGAAUUCCAGGUGUAGCGGUGAAAUGCGUAGAUAUCUGGAGGAACACCGGUGGCGAAGGCGGCAUCCUGGACCGGUAUUGACGCUGAGGCGCGAAAGCUAGGGUAGCAAACGGG
Molecule: ribosomal RNA, 253 nt
Filed under: uncultured bacterium
Lineage: Bacteria
Description: partial 16S ribosomal RNA
Rfam family: Bacterial small subunit ribosomal RNA
Source: RNAcentral